GCCCAGAUGGCAGAGUGGUUAAUGUACACGACUGGAAAUCGUGACCCUUCGGGGUGCGCAGGUUCAAAUCCUGCUCUGGGCG
This 82-nucleotide transfer RNA is filed under the name Candidatus Pacearchaeota archaeon. RNAcentral describes it as "tRNA-Ser". It matches the Rfam family "tRNA". From Rfam's summary of the family: Transfer RNA (tRNA) molecules are approximately 80 nucleotides in length. Their secondary structure includes four short double-helical elements and three loops (D, anti-codon, and T loops). Further hydrogen bonds mediate the characteristic L-shaped molecular structure. tRNAs have two regions of fundamental functional importance: the anti-codon, which is responsible for specific mRNA codon recognition, and the 3' end, to which the tRNAs corresponding amino acid is attached (by aminoacyl-tRNA synthetases). tRNAs cope with the degeneracy of the genetic code in two manners: having more than one tRNA (with a specific anti-codon) for a particular amino acid; and 'wobble' base-pairing, i.e. permitting non-standard base-pairing at the 3rd anti-codon position. The record is from RNAcentral. Lineage: Archaea; Nanobdellati.